RNAcentral lists this ribosomal RNA (819 nucleotides) under uncultured eukaryote. Its description in RNAcentral is "SSU rRNA". It matches the Rfam family "Eukaryotic small subunit ribosomal RNA", at positions 629 to 1426 of the family's 1831-position model. The record is from RNAcentral.
CGGUGUUUAACUGGCGUGAUGUGGGACGUCCUACCGGUGGGCUUAGCCUCGCGAGGGGCGGCCCAACUAAUAUCCCGUCGCGGUGCUCUUUACUGAGUGUCGAGUCGGGCCGGUACGUUUACUUUGAACAAAUUAGAGUGCUUAAAGCAGGCCAUCCUCGCCUGAAUACUGCGUGCAUGGAAUAAUGGAAUAGGACCUCGGUUCUAUUUUGUUGGUUUUCGGAACCCCGAGGUAAUGAUUAAUAGGGACAGAUGGGGGCAUUCGUAUUGCGACGUUAGAGGUGAAAUUCUUGGAUCGUCGCAAGACGGACAGAAGCGAAAGCAUUUGCCAAAAAUGUUUUCAUUAAUCAAGAACGAAAGUUAGAGGUUCGAAGGCGAUCAGAUACCGCCCUAGUUCUAACCAUAAACGAUGCCAGCUAGCGAUCCGCCGAAGUUCCUCCGAUGACUCGGCGGGCAGCUUCCGGGAAACCAAAGCUUUUGGGUUCCGGGGGAAGUAUGGUUGCAAAGCUGAAACUUAAAGGAAUUGACGGAAGGGCACCACCAGGAGUGGAGCCUGCGGCUUAAUUUGACUCAACACGGGAAACCUCACCAGGCCCAGACACCGGAAGGAUUGACAGAUUGAUAGCUCUUUCUUGAUUCGGUGGGUGGUGGUGCAUGGCCGUUCUUAGUUGGUGGAGCGAUUUGUCUGGUUAAUUCCGAUAACGAACGAGACUCUAGCCUGCUAAAUAGGCGUACCUUAUGGUAUCGCGAAGGCCCCCGGCUUCGGCCGGUGGGUUUUUACUACCAACGUACAAACAAAUCUUCUUAGAGGGACAGGCGG